RNAcentral lists this ribosomal RNA (494 nucleotides) under uncultured bacterium. Its description in RNAcentral is "partial 16S ribosomal RNA". It matches the Rfam family "Bacterial small subunit ribosomal RNA", at positions 28 to 507 of the family's 1533-position model. The record is from RNAcentral.
GACGAACGCUGGCGGCGCGCUUAACACAUGCAAGUCGAACGGAAAGGCCUGCUUUCCCUUGUGGAUUGCGGGUACUCGAGUGGCGAACGGGUGAGUAACACGUGAGUGAUCUGCCCCCAACUUGGGUAUAAGCCUGGGAAACUGGGUCUAAUUCCCGAUAGGACUGCAGGGUGGUGCCUGUGGUGGAAAACGAUUUUCUAGUGGUUGGGGAUGAGCUCGCGGCCUAUCAGCUUGUUGGUGGGGUAAUGGCCUACCAAGGCGGCGACGGGUAGCCGGCCUGAGAGGGUGGACGGCCACAUUGGGACUGAGAUACGGCCCAGACGCCUACGGGAGGCAGCAGUGAGGAAUAUUGCACAAUGGGCGGAAGCCUGAUGCAGCGACGCCGCGUGGGGGAUGACGGCCUUCGGGUUGUAAACUCCUUUCGACCGCGAGGAAGCCACCUGGUUGGAAGGGUGGUGACGGUAGUGGUAGAAGAAGCACCGGCUAACUACGUG